RNAcentral lists this long non-coding RNA (214 nucleotides) under Solanum tuberosum (potato). RNAcentral describes it as "long non-coding RNA (STUB_LNC001143)". Lineage: Eukaryota; Viridiplantae; Streptophyta; Magnoliopsida; Solanales; Solanaceae. The record is from RNAcentral.
AAAGUUUUGUUGAUUUAUCUACUUAUAUAGAGGUCAUAUAGUUACAAACACUACAAUUCAAAUAUUUCCUCUAAUGUAACCAAAAUAGGCAAGAGACGAUGCUUAAGAAUUUCAUCACUUACACAUGUUAUCAAUACAUGUAUUUGAUUGGACAUGUGCAAUUGGGGCACACACCAAAAUUUCACCUAUUGAAUUAAACAAUGGCAAAAGNNNN